Molecule: long non-coding RNA, 621 nt
Organism: Pseudopipra pipra
Lineage: Eukaryota; Metazoa; Chordata; Aves; Passeriformes; Pipridae
Exons: 2
Source: RefSeq, a predicted model, not a curated record
AAAACACUGCAGCCUUGUGGUCUGUCUUCACAACAUUUAGUGAUCCCAUGGUCAGAUUAGAUGAUAUCUAGUGUUGACCUAACUGUCUAAGGGUGAACCAUAACUCAUUAGUCCCAUCAACUAUAGAGUGCACCCUUAAUUUGAUUCUAUUGUAAUCAGUCCAGCUUUUCUCAAGGCUUUAGCCUAAACCUCCACUGCCUACCUCUAGUCUUGAUUGCUGUUCUUAAUUUUAUUACAGUCAACAUAUGGCACCUGUGCUUUCAAUAUAUGGGACACUCAAGUGUGACCAAGGUUUGAAACUGAUACUUAGUGUUCCCCGUAUUUGAAGUAAUCAAGUUGAGGAUGCUAGGAGUUGGCUGGUAGUCCUGGUGAAUGAACUUGCUGAAAUGUGAAGAUCACUAUGAAGUAAACCUCAUCACAAAGAAGGAUGGAUGCAGAAGUCUGCUUACCUUCCCUCUGGUUCUGUUCUGCCUGGUGUUGUUUAUUGCAGGACUUAAAGCACUGAAACAGUUUGCUAUGAAUCUUGAUUUGCAGAACAUAAGAGUUCUGUAAAUUGAAAUACAGAGUAACUGAAGAAACAUCUGCUGUAAAAAAUAAAGUGGAAUAGUGCUGCAAACCUUU